UUAAGCGACUAAGCGUACACGGUGGAUGCCCUGGCAGUCAGAGGCGAUGAAGGACGUGCUAAUCUGCGAAAAGCGUCGGUAAGGUGAUAUGAACCGUUAUAACCGGCGAUGUCCGAAUGGGGAAACCCAGUGCAAUUCGUUGCACUAUCGUUAACUGAAUACAUAGGUUAACGAGGCGAACCGGGGGAACUGAAACAUCUAAGUACCCCGAGGAAAAGAAAUCAACCGAGAUUCCCCCAGUAGCGGCGAGCGAACGGGGAGCAGCCCAGAGUCUGAAUCAGCUUGUGUGUUAGUGGAACGGUCUGGAAAGUCCGACGGUACAGGGUGAUAGUCCCGUACACCAAAAUGCACAGGCUGUGAACUCGAAGAGUAGGGCGGGACACGUGGUAUCCUGUCUGAAUAUGGGGGGACCAUCCUCCAAGGCUAAAUACUCCUGACUGACCGAUAGUGAACCAGUACCGUGAGGGAAAGGCGAAAAGAACCCCGGCGAGGGGAGUGAAAAAGAACCUGAAACCGUGUACGUACAAGCAGUGGGAGCACCUUCGGGUGUGACUGCGUACCUUUUGUAUAAUGGGUCAGCGACUUAUAUUCUGUAGCAAGGUUAACCGUAUAGGGGAGCCGCAGGGAAACCGAGUCUUAACUGGGCGUUAAGUUGCAGGGUAUAGACCCGAAACCCGGUGAUCUAGCCAUGGGCAGGUUGAAGGUUGGGUAACACUAACUGGAGGACCGAACCGACUAAUGUUGAAAAAUUAGCGGAUGACUUGUGGCUGGGGGUGAAAGGCCAAUCAAACCGGGAGAUAGCUGGUUCUCCCCGAAAGCUAUUUAGGUAGCGCCUCGUGAACUCAUCUUCGGGGGUAGAGCACUGUUUCGGCUAGGGGGUCAUCCCGACUUACCAACCCGAUGCAAACUACGAAUACCGAAGAAUGUUAUCACGGGAGACACACGGCGGGUGCUAACGUCCGUCGUGAAGAGGGAAACAACCCAGACCGCCAGCUAAGGUCCCAAAGUCAUGGUUAAGUGGGAAACGAUGUGGGAAGGCACAGACAGCCAGGAUGUUGGCUUAGAAGCAGCCAUCAUUUAAAGAAAGCGUAAUAGCUCACUGGUCGAGUCGGCCUGCGCGGAAGAUGUAACGGGGCUAAACCAUGCACCGAAGCUGCGGCAGCGACACUAUGUGUUGUUGGGUAGGGGAGCGUUCUGUAAGCCUGCGAAGGUGACCUGUGAGGGUUGCUGGAGGUAUCAGAAGUGCGAAUGCUGACAUAAGUAACGAUAAAGCGGGUGAAAAGCCCGCUCGCCGGAAGACCAAGGGUUCCUGUCCAACGUUAAUCGGGGCAGGGUGAGUCGACCCCUAAGGCGAGGCCGAAAGGCGUAGUCGAUGGGAAACAGGUUAAUAUUCCUGUACUUGGUGUUACUGCGAAGGGGGGACGGAGAAGGCUAUGUUAGCCGGGCGACGGUUGUCCCGGUUUAAGCAUGUAGGCUGAUUGUCCAGGCAAAUCCGGAUAAUCAAGGCUGAGGUGUGAUGACGAGGCACUACGGUGCUGAAGUAACAAAUGCCCUGCUUCCAGGAAAAGCCUCUAAGCAUCAGGUAACAUUAAAUCGUACCCCAAACCGACACAGGUGGUCAGGUAGAGAAUACCAAGGCGCUUGAGAGAACUCGGGUGAAGGAACUAGGCAAAAUGGUGCCGUAACUUCGGGAGAAGGCACGCUGGUGUGUAGGUGAAGUCCCUGCGGAUGGAGCUGAGACCAGUCGAAGAUACCAGCUGGCUGCAACUGUUUAUUAAAAACACAGCACUGUGCAAACACGAAAGUGGACGUAUACGGUGUGACGCCUGCCCGGUGCCGGAAGGUUAAUUGAUGGGGUUAUCCGUAAGGAGAAGCUCUUGAUCGAAGCCCCGGUAAACGGCGGCCGUAACUAUAACGGUCCUAAGGUAGCGAAAUUCCUUGUCGGGUAAGUUCCGACCUGCACGAAUGGCGUAAUGAUGGCCAGGCUGUCUCCACCCGAGACUCAGUGAAAUUGAACUCGCUGUGAAGAUGCAGUGUACCCGCGGCAAGACGGAAAGACCCCGUGAACCUUUACUAUAGCUUGACACUGAACAUUGAGCCUUGAUGUGUAGGAUAGGUGGGAGGCUUUGAAGCGUGGACGCCAGUCUGCGUGGAGCCAACCUUGAAAUACCACCCUUUAAUGUUUGAUGUUCUAACGUUGGCCCCUGACCGGGGUUGCGGACAGUGUCUGGUGGGUAGUUUGACUGGGGCGGUCUCCUCCCAAAGCGUAACGGAGGAGCACGAAGGUUAGCUAAUCCUGGUCGGACAUCAGGAGGUUAGUGCAAUGGCAUAAGCUAGCUUGACUGCGAGCGUGACGGCGCGAGCAGGUGCGAAAGCAGGUCAUAGUGAUCCGGUGGUUCUGAAUGGAAGGGCCAUCGCUCAACGGAUAAAAGGUACUCCGGGGAUAACAGGCUGAUACCGCCCAAGAGUUCAUAUCGACGGCGGUGUUUGGCACCUCGAUGUCGGCUCAUCACAUCCUGGGGCUGAAGUAGGUCCCAAGGGUAUGGCUGUUCGCCAUUUAAAGUGGUACGCGAGCUGGGUUUAGAACGUCGUGAGACAGUUCGGUCCCUAUCUGCCGUGGGCGCUGGAGAAUUGAGGGGGGCUGCUCCUAGUACGAGAGGACCGGAGUGGACGCAUCACUGGUGUUCGGGUUGUCAUGCCAAUGGCACUGCCCGGUAGCUAAAUGCGGAAGAGAUAAGUGCUGAAAGCAUCUAAGCACGAAACUUGCCCCGAGAUGAGUUCUCCCUGAGACUUUAAGUCUCCUGAAGGAACGUUAAAGACGAUGACGUUGAUAGGCCGGGUGUGUAAGCGCAGCGAUGCGUUGAGCUAACCGGUACUAAUGAACCGUGAGGCUUAACCUU
This 2900-nucleotide ribosomal RNA is filed under the name Klebsiella pneumoniae. RNAcentral describes it as "bacterial LSU rRNA". It matches the Rfam family "Bacterial large subunit ribosomal RNA". Lineage: Bacteria; Pseudomonadati; Pseudomonadota; Gammaproteobacteria; Enterobacterales; Enterobacteriaceae. The record is from RNAcentral.